UACCAGCACCCCGAGCGGUCGGGGCGUUUAUUGGGCCUAAAGCAUCCGUAGCCGGUUCUACAAGUCUUCCGUUAAAUCCACCUGCUCAACAGAUGGGCUGCGGAAGAUACUAUGGAGCUAGGAGGCGGGAGAGGCAAGCGGUACUCGAUGGGUAGGGGUAAAAUCCGUUGAUCCAUUGAAGACCACCAGUGGCGAAGGCGGCUUGCCAGAACGCGCUCGACGGUGAGGGAUGAAAGCUGGGGGAGCAAACCGG
Molecule: ribosomal RNA, 253 nt
Filed under: uncultured bacterium
Lineage: Bacteria
Description: partial 16S ribosomal RNA
Rfam family: Archaeal small subunit ribosomal RNA
Source: RNAcentral